Molecule: long non-coding RNA, 330 nt
Organism: Haliotis rufescens (red abalone)
Lineage: Eukaryota; Metazoa; Mollusca; Gastropoda; Lepetellida; Haliotidae
Exons: 3
Source: RefSeq, a predicted model, not a curated record
ACAUUCAUUCAUCCACCAUGAAGGCUGUGUGUCUCCUUCUCCUCGUCUCUGUCCUGCUCAUGGGAGCAGCCUUUGUUGCUGAUGCCCAAUGUAGUGGCACUUGUCACAGCGACCGUGACUGCGACCCGUGCCAUGACAACUGCCACAACGGCUACCACUGCUCCAGACGCCCUGAUGAGUCCACUGGACACUGUACCUGCCAUUGAUGGUGAGCUGGGUGUGCAUGCAUGGACGUUUGGGGGUGUAUAUCUGAGACGCUGCUGACCAUCGACGCAGCACCAACAUUACCUACUCCUUGACAUAAUGAUACAAUAAACACAUUUGAAAGCA